Cebus imitator (Panamanian white-faced capuchin) is the source of this 98-nucleotide long non-coding RNA. RefSeq lists it as uncharacterized. The transcript is spliced from 3 exons. The record is from RefSeq and is a predicted model, not a curated record. Lineage: Eukaryota; Metazoa; Chordata; Mammalia; Primates; Cebidae.
UUUCAUGACUGAUCCUCCAAGAAGAACCUGUAUUGAGUGUCUCUGUGAGAUGACUGGACUGCUCUAUCCAGCAUCGUUGAGUUAAGAGCAGUCAAGUU